Molecule: long non-coding RNA, 4976 nt
Filed under: Marmota monax (woodchuck)
Lineage: Eukaryota; Metazoa; Chordata; Mammalia; Rodentia; Sciuridae
Source: RNAcentral
AACCCUAUCACUUUUAUUACAGCUUUGUUCAGAAUGGUUCAAGCUUUGUGAAACACCUUUCACUGGGUUCAGUCCAAAUGUGUGGAGUAGGAAAAUUCCCUAUUCUGCCACUUCUUUCACCUUCCCUUCUGGAUGUACCAUAUAGGUUGAAUGAGAUCACAAAGGAAAAGCAGCAGUGUUGUGCUUCUUUAGCUGCAGGUAAGGAAUUUUGUUGAAGGUUAAAAUGUAUAAGUCAAUAGUAUUAAAAAGGAAAACUUACAAGAAAAAGACUUUUUUAAAAAAUUCAUGAAGUUAUCCAAGACUGUAUGUUAUUGCUUAGUAAAAUUUCUGAGAUACUCAUAAAAUACUAACCAUGUUAUUUUUCAGUUAUAAUUGUGUAUGAGGCAUUUAUGUGUGUUUUUAUUGUGUCUGGUUAAUCCUUUUCUUCUAAUUCAUGGUAUUACUUUAAAUAAUAUUUAAAAUAUAUGUUUUAAAUCAUUAUUUUACUACCCAUUUUCCUAUAUCCCUUCCCAGUUUUAAAAAUAAACUUAUCUGGGCUGGGGAUGUGGCUCAAGCGGUAGCAUACUCGCCUGGCAUGCGUGCUGCCCGGGUUCGAUCCUCAGCACCACAUACCAACAAAGAUGUUGUGUCCGCCAAUAACUAAAAAAUAAAUAUUAAAAAAAAUUCUCUCUCUCUCUCUCUCUCUCUCCCUCUCUAAAAAAAAUAAACUUAUCUAAAGAUCAUUUAAAUGUGUCCUAUAAGUUACAAAACACAAAACUGAUUUAAAAUAAUUAUUAUUGGAGAUUGGGGUUGUGGCUCCAUGUUGGAAUGCUUGCCUAGCUUGUGUGAGGCACUGGAUUCAGUUAUCAGCAGUGCAUAUAGAUAAAUGAACAAAAUAAAGGUCCAUCAAUAUCUAAUAAGUUUUUUGUUUGUUUUUUUAAAUAUUUUUUCAGUUUUUGAUAGACCUUUAUUUUAUCUAUUUAUACAUGGGGCUGGGAAUCUAACCCAGUGCCUCACACAUGCCAGGCAAGUGCACUACCACUGAGCUAUAACCCCAGCCACAAGUAAUAAAAGUUUUAAGAAAUUAUUAUUAUUAUGCAUCCAGAUGCUGUCAAUUGGACAUAAAAUACUUCCAGCCAUGUUUAUUGGUAUCUGUUCCUGAAAGUAGAUUAAAAACUUGAAUCAAAUAACAAGUAUGAGUAAGCAAAAUAGGUUAAAGAACAGGCUUUCCUUUUAAAUAAAUUUCCAUCAUAUUUCUAGAAAAUAUUUAAUACUUGAGGUCACUGAAGUUGAGAAUUCUCAAAACUAACCUGAAAUAUGUGAAAUGGUAGAAAGUAUUAUAUAUCUUCAUGGCUCUAUCUGUUAAAUUUAUAUUUCUUUAAAUUUUUAUCUGCUCAGAUCAAAUGAAAAGGCUUCAUGGUACCUAACAACUACAAUUACCUUUUCAUUUAGAAUGAUCAUAAAAAAAUCAUAACACUCUUUUUUGGGAGUGGAGAUGUAGUUCAAGUAUGUGUGAGGCCCUAGGAUCAAUCCCUAUCACCACAAAAAUUAAAAAUAAAACAAUUUUAUAAAAGAAUGGAAUUAAAACUCUGGUUUAGUUUUAUAAUUAUUUCAUAUUUUCACUUGACUGUUUGAUCUUCUAUUGCCUGUCAUUUCCCAAUGAAUCCAUGCAAAUACUCAUGAAACUGAACUGAGCCAUUGUGGGGAAAAAACAUACUGAUAUGAAGAAUUUUAGGUUUUAGCCUAUUUUAUAGAAGCCUAUUACAUCAAAUAGUAAUCUCAGUCUUUUGAUUACAUGCUGUUGCUGUUAAAUACCCCUAAUAUAUGCAUUUAUUCAUAAAUUGUAUACCAAUAUAUGUUGAUGGUACCUGAUACACUUACAUACCAAAUAUAGUAUAGUAAGUAAAUAGAAACUCUGGUAUUUCUUCUAGCAUGGAAUGUUUUGCCUAGUGCUUACUGGCAAAAUUAGAAUAAACUCAGAUUUGCAGGUAGGUUUUUUGGAGGUGCAUUUUAAAAUGGCUGGGAAUUCAUUUCUUUGGUGAUAGUAUUGCAAAACAUGUUAUAAUUAUAAACUUUUAUAAUAAUUGACAAAGCAGAAAUUAUUCCAAAGAUAUAUGAUCUAUAAGUUGUAUACUUUCAGAGAUGAAAAGGUUAAUAUGGGUGUGUAGGGAAGGAAGAAUAGAAGUUUGUUCAUUGGAUUAGACAAAGGGGAGUGAACAGAAGCAGGGAUGGGAAUAGGAAGCCCAUAGAAUGAAUUGGGAAAUAACUUUCCUGUGUACAUUAUGAACACAUGACCAGUGUGUUAUAUGGGAAGUUAUAUUCCAUGUAUGUAUAAUAUGUCCAAAUAUACUCUACUCUCACGUAUAUCUAAAAAAGAACAAAUAAAAAAGUUAAUAUAAAUAUUUCCACAUAUCAGUGAUACAGAUUUUAUAGCCUUUCCUUUUUAACAAAGACAGGCUGUACAUAUUUUAAGAUACACAAAUUUAAAGUCACCUUUGAAUCUCUCUAUCCAGGUUUCAUACAAAAUGCUGAAUGGGUUAAACUAUACAAAUGCUGUCUGACACAGACUGCUACAUAUAUGUUAGCUGCUGUCAUUGUCAUCAUCAUCAAAGUUUGUAGCCAUCAAUCGUGUAUAUCAACCAUUAUUUAAAAAUACACAGUGUGGGCUGCGAUUGUGCCUAGCAAGAGUGAGGAACUGGGUUCAAUUCUCAGCACCGCAUAUAAAUAAAGUCCAUUGAUAACUAAAAAACAUAUUAAAAAAAACACUCAGUGUGUUUAGGGAAAUCUAUGCCAUCAUUUUGGAGAUGGCAUAGAAAAAAUGUCUAAUGUUGCCCUUUGUUCUAAUAUUUCUUUUUUUCUUCCUCCUCUCUCUCUCUCUCUCUCUCUCUCUCUCUCUCUCUCUCUCUCUCUCGGCACUGGGGAUUGAACCUAGGGUGCUUAACCACUGAGCCACAUCUCCACCCCUUUUUAGUUUUUACUUUGAGACAGGGUCUCACUAAAUUGCUUAGGGCCUCACUAAGUUGCUGAGGCUCUUUGAACUUGUGAUCCUUCUGCCUCUAUCUCCUGAAUUGCUGGGAUUAUAGGCCUGUGCCACUGUACCUGGCUGCUUCAUCAUUUUUUGACAUUUUUUUUUAGUACAAAUAACAGAUAACAAUCAUAUUUCUUCAAAUGUUUUAUAAAAAACCAACUGGACUGGGAAUGUAAAUCAGUGAUAGAGCAAUUGCCUAACAUGUAUAAGGACUUUUCUUCAAUCCCCUGAAACACAGGGAAAAAAAACAAACAAACAAACAAACUCAAAUCAGUCUAAAAGUAAAAUUUUAGAAUUUUUUCUAUUACAUAUCCUAUUUUUAUCUUAUACAUAAAAGUUGUAAUUACCAGAAAUGUUCAUUGUUUAGGAUAAAAAAAUCCCAUUUUAUCUGCAAAAAUUAUUAUGAAAGUAUAACACUUUUUAAAAAUUCAUUUAUUUUUACUUUUCCUUUUUUGAGGGGGCAGGUCUGAAGUUUGAAAUUAAGGUGCUUUAUAACUGAGCUACAUCCUAGCCCUUUUUUAUUUUAUUAUUAUUAUUUUCUUUUUUUGAGCCAGGAUCUCACUAAGUUGCUUAGGGCUUUGCUACAUUGUUGAGACUGGCCUCAAAUUUGUGAACUUCAUGCUUCAGCCUGCCAGAUUGUUGGGAUUACAGGCUUGUGCCACAACACCCAGCCAAAAUAUAUUUAUUUUCAGUUAAUAAACAUUAUAUUUAUUCAUUGUAUACAAAGUGUAACAGUAUUAAUUUAUUUUAAAUUAAUAGGAAAUUUGAUAAUAUGUUUAACUCCAGAAUAAUAGAGUAAUAUAUGUAUUUAAUUGAUUAUCAUUCAGGUAAUCAUUUCAUAUUUAGAUUUAUUUAUUAUCCUUAAAGGAAGGGUAGAAUCUUUAAAGCAUAUACUUAUUAUAUUAUAUUACUUUAUAUGUUAAAUAUUUGAUUUCUUGCUUUUAAUUAAUUAAAAUAUAGUUUUUUUGUCUUUUAAAGAUAUCUUGAAAUCAAUUGUCUAGCACUUGUUCUUGGGGCAGAGGGUGUAACUCAGUAGUAAAGUGCUGGCCUAGCAUACAGGAGUCUCUGGGUACUAUCCCCAGAACCUCAAAAAAAAAAAAAAAAUCUAGCACUGUUUUCUAAUUUCCUUUGGGUCUUUUAAAAAUCUGGUAAAUCAGAUGUGGUGGUACCCACUAUAUUCCGAGCAUCGGAAGCUGAAACUGGAGAAUGCCUGUGCAACAUAGAAAGAAUCUAUCUCCAACAAACAAGCAAAAAAAUAACCUGAUAAUAAUAGAGAAUUGGGGCUGGGGUUGUGGCUCAGCAGUAGAGCACUUGCCUGCCAUGUGCGAGGCCCUGGGUUUGAUCCUCAGCACCACAUAUAAAUCAAUAAAAUAAAGGUAUGUGUCCAACUACAACUAAAAACAAAAUAUUUUUUAAAAAGAAGAAUUGCUCUGGGGGUGGUGGCACAUGCCUAUAAUCCUAUUGACUCAGGAGAUGAAGGCAGGAGGAUCAUGAGUUUAAAACUAACCUCAGGAAUUAAGGCAUGAACCUAAGGAAUGUAGCGAGACCCUGUCUCAAAAUUAAAAAAAAAAAAAUGCCUGGAAAUUUGGCUCAGUGGUUAAGUGCCCCUGGGUUCAAUCCCCAAUACAAAAAGAAAUACAUAUAUAUAAAUUUCAUUCCAUAAAAGUUGACAUAACCAACAUACAUUUUGCAGGUAAAUUUUAGAGAGUUUGCAGACACAUUGUAACUUACUCUCUACCCCAUGUUUAGAGUAACUAAUGUGUGAUAAUACAGUUCUUGGAUUUGUAUUUAUUUUUAUGAUUGACAUAUAUGAUUUUUAUGAUUGACAUAUGUGAUCAUCAUAUAUUUAUAUUGACAUAUAUUUAUCUUUUCUGUUAGGCUUACCUCAUUUUUCUUCUGGUCUUUUCUGCUGCUGGGGAAGGGAUAUUUUUAUUGCACUUAAAGGUUUACAGUUGGUUACUGGACGAUA